Molecule: ribosomal RNA, 445 nt
Filed under: uncultured bacterium
Lineage: Bacteria
Description: partial 16S ribosomal RNA
Rfam family: Bacterial small subunit ribosomal RNA
Source: RNAcentral
GUGAGGAAUAUUGGUCAAUGGACGAGAGUCUGAACCAGCCAAGUCGCGUGAAGGAAGACGGUUCUAUGAAUUGUAAACUUCUUUUGUGCAGGAAUAAAGUGGGUUACGUGUAACCUUUUGUAUGUACUGUACGAAUAAGGAUCGGCUAACUCCGUGCCAGCAGCCGCGGUAAUACGGAGGAUCCGAGCGUUAUCCGGAUUUAUUGGGUUUAAAGGGUGCGUAGGUGGAUUGAUAAGUCAGCGGUGAAAGUUUGCAGCUUAACUGUAAAAUUGCCGUUGAAACUGUCGGUCUUGAGUGCAAAUGAGGUAGGCGGAAUGUGUUGUGUAGCGGUGAAAUGCUUAGAUAUAACACAGAACGCCGAUUGCGAAGGCAGCUUACUGGGAUGCAACUGACACUGAUGCACGAAAGCGUGGGUAUCAAACAGGAUUAGAUACCCGAGUAGUCC